This 479-nucleotide ribosomal RNA is filed under the name Bactrocera erubescentis. RNAcentral describes it as "partial large subunit ribosomal RNA". It matches the Rfam family "Bacterial large subunit ribosomal RNA", at positions 1799 to 2546 of the family's 2925-position model. The record is from RNAcentral. Lineage: Eukaryota; Metazoa; Arthropoda; Insecta; Diptera; Tephritidae.
CCUGUUUAACAAAAACAUGUCUUUUUGAGUUAUUUUAAAAGUCUGACCUGCCCACUGAAAUUAUUUAAAUGGCCGCAGUAUUCUAACUGUGCAAAGGUAGCAUAAUCAUUAGUCUUUUAAUUGAAGGCUGGUAUGAACGGUUGGACGAGGUAUAAGCUGUUUCAUAUAAAUUUAUAAUAGAAUUUUAUAUUUUAGUCAAAAAGCUAAAAUUUAAUUAAAAGACGAGAAGACCCUAUAAAUCUUUAUAUUCUAAGUUGUUUAAAUUUUUUAGAUUAAUUUUAUUUUUAUAAUUUAGAGUAUUUUGUUGGGGUGAUAUUAAAAUUUAAUGAACUUUUAGUUGUUAAAAAUCAUUAAUUUAUGAGUUAUUGAUCCAUUAAUAGUGAUUAUAAGAUUAAGUUACUUUAGGGAUAACAGCGUAAUUUUUUUGGAGAGUUCAUAUCGAUAAAAAAGUUUGCGACCUCGAUGUUGGAUUAAGAAUA